AAUAGAUACCCCGGUAGUCCUAGCCGUAAACGAUACUCGCUAGGUGUCGGCCACGGUGCGACCGUUGUCGGUGCCGUAGGGAAGCCGUGAAGCGAGCCACCUGGGAAGUACGGCCGCAAGGCUGAAACUUAAAGGAAUUGGCGGGGGAGCACCACAACGGGUGGAGCUUGCGGUUUAAUUGGAUUCAACGCCGGAAAUCUUACCGGGACCGACAGCAAUAUGAAGGCCAGGCUGAAGACUUUGCCGGAUUAGCUGAGAGGUGGUGCAUGGCCGUCGUCAGUUCGUACUGUGAAGCAUCCUGUUAAGUCAGGCAACGAGCGAGACCCACGCCCACAGUUGCCAGCGUACUCUCUGGAGUGACGGGUACACUGUGGGGACCGCCGCUGCUAAAGCGGAGGAAGGAAUGGGCAACGGUAGGUCAGUAUGCCCCGAAUAUCCCGGGCUACACGCGAGCUACAAUGGUUGGUACAAUGGGUAUCUACCCCGAAAGGGACGGGAAUCUCUAAAACCAAUCUUAGUUCGGAUUGAGGCUGCAACUCGCCCUCA
RNAcentral lists this ribosomal RNA (546 nucleotides) under uncultured bacterium. Its description in RNAcentral is "bacterial SSU rRNA". It matches the Rfam family "Archaeal small subunit ribosomal RNA", at positions 728 to 1276 of the family's 1478-position model. The record is from RNAcentral.